UUCCUAGUGCCUCAGUGGUAGAGAAUCUGCCUGCCAAGCAGGAGACCUGGGUUCCUUCCCUGGGUGGGGAA
Molecule: transfer RNA, 71 nt
Filed under: Bos taurus (domestic cattle)
Lineage: Eukaryota; Metazoa; Chordata; Mammalia; Artiodactyla; Bovidae
Also listed under: 2 other names
Rfam family: tRNA
About the family: Transfer RNA (tRNA) molecules are approximately 80 nucleotides in length.
Source: Rfam by way of RNAcentral